GAGGGUAUAGCUCAGUUGGUUUAGAGCGCUUGCUUGACAGGCAAGAGGUCCGCAGUUCGAGUCUGCGUAUCCUCACCA
Molecule: transfer RNA, 78 nt
Filed under: Bacteroidota bacterium
Lineage: Bacteria; Pseudomonadati; Bacteroidota
Also listed under: 1 other name
Description: Bacteroidetes bacterium tRNA-Val
Rfam family: tRNA
About the family: Transfer RNA (tRNA) molecules are approximately 80 nucleotides in length. Their secondary structure includes four short double-helical elements and three loops (D, anti-codon, and T loops).
Source: RNAcentral